GAAUAUUCAAGCGGAGUUAAGCUGAAGCUAAAUAAUUCAAAAAAAAUUAUAUUUAGUUCAUUCAAGCCUUGUGAUCUUGCUUGUAGGUUUCACUUCUUACAUUUCUAUCAAGUGUUGAUGGAUACUGGAUUAUUCAUGACUGAGAUUUACAAGAUGCAUUGAUUAUAUGGUAAUGAACUAUUUGGACUAUCCUGUAAGAAAGUAAAGGAAAAACACCAGUUGGAUUGGUUUAUUGUUUCAGACAUUCUCACUCUAUAUGCGUUUAAUACAUUAUCUCGUGUACAAGCGAAGAGCCGUGAAGGCCUGAACAAACACACGUGCACUGAGUGAGGCAAAAGUUUGUGUGAAGCAGCCAUUAGCCGUCUGGUCAGAUCAGAGCAAGAUGUAAACCCACCUUGCAUUUCUGAUGCAUGAUGGAUUAAUUUGGCUGCAGUGCUUCCUUAAACUUCCCAUUCUAACCUAACUUGUUUUUUUAUGAAAGUCCAUCCAGCAUAGGGAGCUAGUUAUUGAGCAAACACCAGAAUUUUCAGGUCCAGAAAUUAAACCACUGUGAACUGCUAGAUGACAGAUCAAACUGGCUACCUGAAUGAAAACUGCACCAUUGAUUGGGUGAUGCCAAUGAGCCAUCUGUGUAUUCAUCACUGUUGAGGAGUUCAUGCCCUUCAUCCCCAGAGUGCUCAAUGUCCCUGCUCUUAUUGUUUUGUGAACACAUGAAUUCUGUGUUGUUUAGUCCCUGUUGUGCUUCAGGAUCAUUAUUGAUGUUUCCAUUGUUUGUAGCAAUGAGAGUGUUGCUCCCUUCUAAACCCUUGCAAGUCAUAUUCCCAUCACAAGGUUGAUCCAAUAGUUCAUUUAGCUUCUGCAACUGUAUGAGCAAAGACUGUCUUUCAUUCUUCAAGGACUCAAAACAGGAUGCUAAUUUGUCAUAAUUAGCUCUUAAUGUCUUGUACUCUUGCUCAAUCUGCUUUGACUUCCAUCUAGCUCUUCUAUUCUGGAACCAUAUAGCAAUCUGGCGAGGUUGAAGCCCAAGCUCUCUGGACAGUUGCAAUUUCUUCCUGGGCUCGAGCUUGGUCUCUGAUUCAAAAAUUGACUCUAGUAAUCUGAUCUGUUCAUCACUAAAUCUCCUCUUGUUCUUGGUGAUGUUCUUCUUCUUUCUUGGGGCUUGGGAGAGCUGUGGGCAAGCAAAGUUUUCUGAUCUUUCAUCUGGUGCCUCUGGAGAAUACCCUCUUCCAUCUAUUUGAUUACUCAUGUUUUGGUGGGAAAUUCUAUUUAUUGAACUCUCAACAAGAAGUGGCUUUUGUUGUUCCUUAUAUUCUAGUCUUAAAUGCU
Molecule: unclassified non-coding RNA, 1326 nt
Filed under: Hevea brasiliensis (rubber tree)
Lineage: Eukaryota; Viridiplantae; Streptophyta; Magnoliopsida; Malpighiales; Euphorbiaceae
Source: RNAcentral